AUGGCUAUGCUCACUACUGGCCGCCGAUGCUGCACAGGGACCAGUAUCGUGACCCGAGAGUGGGCGCAGCCACCACCGCUUCUGCUCGCCCCACAGAGCGUCCCGGCCGUCACCCAAGCGCUCUCGGCAGCUGGAACAUGCCAGCAAGGGGCCAUCACCCUCACCCAACAAUCUCAGGGCUCAUCGAGCACAGGGCGUAUGUACGAUUGCAAAGACAAGGGAGUUGGAGACAGUGAUCAAUAUCUUGCUGAACGGCGCACUGCACGUCACCUUAUUUCACAAGUCUAUUAUUAGGUUACAUGCA
Molecule: long non-coding RNA, 304 nt
Filed under: Oryza sativa Indica Group (long-grained rice)
Lineage: Eukaryota; Viridiplantae; Streptophyta; Magnoliopsida; Poales; Poaceae
Description: lncRNA OsZS97_12G009350
Source: RNAcentral